UGAUCUCCCUCUUCACUCGACACCUGGUGUAUGAUGUCCAGCGGUACUCCCAACGACUUAUGAAAUGAAAAUCCUAUUUCAGAUUGGUAAAAAGGAAUUAAUAAAGGGUCGAUUGAUAUAUGGAAAUCUGAUUAUGCAAACUACUUCUAUGGAUGAAGCCAAAGAAGUCAUAAUUUUCCUGAAGCUGUAACUGAACAA
Molecule: long non-coding RNA, 198 nt
Organism: Hibiscus syriacus
Lineage: Eukaryota; Viridiplantae; Streptophyta; Magnoliopsida; Malvales; Malvaceae
Exons: 4
Source: RefSeq, a predicted model, not a curated record